Molecule: ribosomal RNA, 228 nt
Filed under: uncultured bacterium
Lineage: Bacteria
Description: partial 16S ribosomal RNA
Rfam family: Bacterial small subunit ribosomal RNA
Source: RNAcentral
UCCGUAGGUGGGUAAUUAAGUCAGGGGUGAAAGUCUGCAGCUCAACUGUAGAAUUGCCCUUGAUACUGGUUGUCUUGAGUCAUUAUGAAGUAGUUAGAAUAUGUAGUGUAGCGGUGAAAUGCAUAGAUAUUACAUAGAAUACCAAUUGCGAAGGCAGAUUACUAAUAAUGUACUGACACUGAUGGACGAAAGCGUGGGGAGCGAACAGGAUUAGAUACCCUGGUAGUC